This is a non-coding RNA of Acanthosepion pharaonis, 95 nucleotides long. The record is from the annotation of a GenBank genome assembly. Lineage: Eukaryota; Metazoa; Mollusca; Cephalopoda; Sepiida; Sepiidae.
AAAACACCGGUUUUCGUGCGAUCAGCGAAGUUAAGCAACGUUGAACCUAAUCAGUACUAGAUGGGUAACCACUUGGAAAUACCAGGUGCUGUAAG